GCUCUUUGGUGAUUCAUGAUAACUUAACGGAUCGCAUGGCCUUGCGCCGGCGACGGUUCAUUCAAAUUUCUGCCCUAUCAACUUUCGAUGGUAAGGUAUUGGCUUACCAUGGUUUCAACGGGUAACGGGGAAUCAGGGUUCGAUUCCGGAGAGGGAGCCUGAGAAACGGCUACCACAUCCAAGGAAGGCGGCAGGCGCGCAAAUUACCCAAUCCCGACACGGGGAGGUAGUGACAAUAAAUACUGAUACAGGGCUCUUUUGGGUCUUGUAAUCGGAAUGAGUACAAUUUAAACCCCUUAACCGAGGAACAAUUGGAGGGCAAGUCUGGUGCCAGCAGCCGCGGUAAUUCCAGCUCCAAUAGCGUAUAUUAAAGUUGUUGCAGUUAAAAAGCUCGUAGUUGAACCUUGGGCCUGGCUGGCCGGUCCGCCUCACCGCGGUGUACUGGUCCGGCCGGGCCUUUCCUUCUGGAGAGCCCCAUGCCCUUCACUGGGCCGGUGCGGGGGAACCAGGACUUUUACUUUGAAAAAAUUAGAGUGGUUCAAAGGCAGCGCUCU
RNAcentral lists this ribosomal RNA (554 nucleotides) under uncultured Mucorales. Its description in RNAcentral is "SSU rRNA". It matches the Rfam family "Eukaryotic small subunit ribosomal RNA", at positions 238 to 790 of the family's 1831-position model. The record is from RNAcentral. Lineage: Eukaryota; Fungi; Mucoromycota; Mucoromycetes; Mucorales.